RNAcentral lists this ribosomal RNA (514 nucleotides) under uncultured bacterium. RNAcentral describes it as "partial 16S ribosomal RNA". It matches the Rfam family "Bacterial small subunit ribosomal RNA", at positions 29 to 523 of the family's 1533-position model. The record is from RNAcentral.
AGCGAACGCUGGCGGCGUGCCUAACACAUGCAAGUCGAACGUGAAAAGGGGCAACCCUGAGUAAAGUGGCGCACGGGUGAGUAACACGUAGGUAAUCUACCUUAAAGCCUGGAAUAACCUGCCGAAAGGCGGGCUAAUACCAGAUAGAGCGAAGGACCCGUAAAGGGUUUUUCGGGAAAGGGAGCUCGCAAGAGCCCUCACUUUAGGAUGAGCCUGCGUCUCAUUAGCUAGUUGGUGAGGUAAUGGCUCACCAAGGCUUUGAUGAGUAGCUGGUCUAAGAGGAUGAUCAGCCACACUGGAACUGAAACACGGUCCAGACUCCUACGGGAGGCAGCAGUGGGGAAUAUUGCGCAAUGGACGAAAGUCUGACGCAGCAACGCCGCGUGAGUGAAGAAGGCCUUCGGGUUGUAAAGCUCUGUCGGGCGGGACGAAAAACCGUAUGGUUCAUAGCCAUGCGGCCUGACGGUACCGCCAAAGGAAGCACCGGCUAACUCUGUGCCAGCCGCCGCUGUAA